AUUCUGAGUGCGUCCUGGCGAGUCUCAGCCCCCAAGCGGGUGGAACGCACCAAGGGUCUCAUCCGCGAGGAAGGGCUUUAACGCUCAGGGUCAGGAACCUCUGAGAGCUCUUGGGGACUUGCGCGCCCUUGGAUGCUCUUGCGUUCAACAGGGCUAGGAGACUACCGGCUGGGGCGAGGAAUGCAGGCGCCUAGAGCCUUGGAGCUCCUGAAACGUUCCUGCCGCCUCCGGAAAGCAAGGGCAGUUUACCGAAGUGACUGAGGCCAAGUAUUUGCAGCACGGGCAGGGACCAGUAACUGAUUUUCAGGCCUUUUGAGAGGAAGAGGAAGAGAGAGGAAGAGAAGGAUUUCUAAUAGUAGAUAUUCACUCUCAUGGACUCUUUAGGAAACAGCAACAAAGACAAGAUUAAGAACACCAAAUUGUGUGACUAUCCACACAAAAAAGCAUCUUCAUAAGAACCAAAAAUCAGAAGGAAUGAAAUAGAAAGAAUAAAGCUGAAGGACAUUUCAUUUAUGUUCAACUAGAAAUCCAAUAUAGUUUUAGGCAAACUAUAUUUUCCCUUGCAACUGUACUCCCUUACAUACAUGUAAGUGGGAAAGAAUAAAUGUGACAAACAAAAUAUCACUCCUGAUUCCACAAUCUAAACAAAACACUGCCUCUUUCUAGGUUUUGUUUUUUGGUUUUUGUUUGUUUGUUUUUUGGCAUAGGGUUGGGGUGUAUGCUUCUUGACGUACCUACAUAAUGAGGAAUACAAGGCUUUGUAUCUUUUAUCAGUAAUUAUUCAUAGCUUAAUUGUGUAAAUUGUAAAAUAUCACACUUUUAUAAUCUUAAUUUUUUUUUGUGGCUGCAGCUAUUAUUUGAAUAAACUGUAAUUAAUUAUUUUCCCUGAGCUGAAGAUUUCAUUUCUCCCCACACUAUCUGGAAUCAUGUUGCCCUGAACAUACUUGUGCAUAUUUUUCUACAUUUCUGAUUAUACU
This 977-nucleotide long non-coding RNA is filed under the name Homo sapiens (human). Its description in RNAcentral is "HSALNT0370139". Lineage: Eukaryota; Metazoa; Chordata; Mammalia; Primates; Hominidae. The record is from RNAcentral.